UCCGGGUUGGACCCGGCGGUCCCGCCAGACACCGUAACUGGCGGCGGGGGUUGCGCUCGUUGCGGGACUUAACCCAACACCUCACGGCACGAGCUGACGACAGCCGUGCAGCACCUGUGCGCGCUCCCUCGCGGGUCCUCCCCCUUUCGAGGUCGUACCACGCGCAUGUCAAGCCCAGGUAAGGUUCUUCGCGUUGCGUCGAAUUAAACCACACGCUCCGCUGCUUGUGCGGGCCCCCGUCAAUUCCUUUGAGUUUUAGCCUUGCGGCCGUAGUCCCCAGGCGGCGGACUUAUCGCGUUGGCUGCGGCACCGGGGGGGUCGAUACCCCCGACACCUAGUCCGCAUCGUUUACGGCGUGGACUAC
This 364-nucleotide unclassified non-coding RNA is filed under the name uncultured Chloroflexota bacterium. Its description in RNAcentral is "uncultured Chloroflexi bacterium contains 16S-23S intergenic spacer region". The record is from RNAcentral. Lineage: Bacteria; Bacillati; Chloroflexota.